GUUGCUUCAGCAACACAUAUGCAAAUUGGAAUAUGUGGAGUUUAGCAUUGCCUUUGAGCAGGGAUGACAUGCACAUUCUUGACUCUUGCAUGUUUUUA
RNAcentral lists this small nuclear RNA (98 nucleotides) under Fukomys damarensis (Damara mole-rat). The record is from RNAcentral. Lineage: Eukaryota; Metazoa; Chordata; Mammalia; Rodentia; Bathyergidae.